UCAAGCUAAUAAGGGCGUUCGGUGGAUGCCUUGGCGCUAAGAGCCGAAGAAGGACGCGGUAAGCUGCGAAAAGCUACGACGAGCUGCAAGCAAGCGACGACUCGUAGAUAUCCGAAUGGGAAAACCCCACUGGAGUAAUAUCCAGUGAUCCUAUAGCCAAUACAUAACUAUAGGAAGGCAACCUGGGGAACUGAAACAUCUAAGUACCCAGAGGAAGAGAAAGAAAACUCGAUUCCCCCAGUAGCGGCGAGCGAAAAGGGAAGAGCCCAAACCAACACUCAGGUGUUGGGGUUGAAGGACCUCCAUGACGGAAUCGAGCCAUAGCCGAAGGACUUGGGAAAGUCCAUCACAGAAGGUAAAAAUCCUGUAGGCGAAAUGGCGAAAGACCAGGAGGGAUCCUGAGUACCACGAGGCACGUGAAAUCUCGUGGGAAGCAGGGGGGACCACCCCCCAAGGCUAAAUACUCCUUAGCGACCGAUAGAGAACAAGUACCGUGAGGGAAAGGUGAAAAGAACCCCGGAAGGGGAGUGAAAAAGAACCUGAAACCGAGCGCUUACAAGCUGUCACAGCACCAUACGAGUGUAGUGGCGUACUUUUUGUAGAACGGACCGGCGAGUUGCGUUAUCAAGCGAGGUUAAGUAGAGAAUACGGAGCCGAAGCGAAAGCGAGUCUUAAGAGGGCGAAAGUUUGAUGACGCAGACCCGAAACCGGGUGAUCUACCCAUGAGCAGGAUGAAGCGUUAGUAAAAUAACGUGGAGGUCCGAACCAGGUAACGUUGAAAAGUUAUUGGAUGACUUGUGGGUAGGGGUGAAAUUCCAAUCGAACCCGGAGAUAGCUGGUUCUCCUCGAAAUAGCUUUAGGGCUAGCCUUAAUGGAAGUUAAUGGAGGUAGAGCACUGAAUUGGCUAGGGGGCCUCACCGCUUACUGAACCAUAUCAAACUGCGAAUGCCAAUAACUGCUCAUUAGGAGUCAGACUGUGGGGGAUAAGCUUCAUGGUCAAAAGGGAAACAGCCCAGACCGCCAGCUAAGGUCCCCAAGUGGAUGUUAAGUGGAAAAGGAUGUGAAAUCGCUCAGACAACCAGGAUGUUGGCUCAGAAGCAGCCACCAUUUAAAGAGUGCGUAAUAGCUCACUGGUCCAGGGGUUUUGCGCCGAAAAUGUAACGGGGCUCAAACAUGCCACCGAAGCUGCGGGAUUAUAUAGAGAUAUAUAAUCGGUAGAGGAGCGUUCUUAACACGACGAAGGUAUACUGAAAAGAGUGCUGGAGAGUUAAGAAGUGAGAAUGCCGGUAUAAGUAUGCGAAAAGGCAGGUGAGAAUCCUGCCCGCCGAAAAUCUAAGGAUUCCUGGGGAAGGCUCGUCCGCCCAGGGUAAGUCGGGACCUAAGGCGAGGCCGAAAGGCGUAGUCGAUGGAAAACUGGUAGAGAAUCCAGUACCACCAAAUGUCGAUUGAGUGAAGUAGUGACGCAGAAAGAUAGGGAGAGCGCCCAGAUGGUGAGGCGUUUAAGUAAGUAGGAGGUUAUGUAGGCAAAUCCGCAUAACAAAAACUCUGAGAUACGAAUACGAGUGAAAACUAGUAACGAAGUCCCCGAUUCUCCGCUGCCAAGAAAAGCUGCUAGCGAGACAUGAGGUGCCCGUACCGCAAACCGACACAGGUAGAUGGGGUGAGAAACCUAAGGCGCGCGAGAAAACUCUUGUUAAGGAACUCGGCAAAAUGAACCCGUAACUUAGGGAGAAGGGUUGCUCUCCGAUGUGAGUACCCGAGCGGUACAGAGCAAUAGAGAGUCGCAGAGAAAAGGUCCAGGCGACUGUUUAGCAAAAACACAGGUCAUUGCAAAAUCGGAAGAUGAAGUAUAAUGGCUGACGCCUGCCCGGUGCUGGAAGGUUAAGGGGAAAUGUGAGAGCAUAGAACCGAAGCCCCAGUAAACGGCGGCCGUAACUAUAACGGUCCUAAGGUAGCGAAAUUCCUUGUCGGGUAAGUUCCGACCCGCACGAAAGGCGUAACGA
RNAcentral lists this ribosomal RNA (2003 nucleotides) under human gut metagenome. RNAcentral describes it as "bacterial LSU rRNA". It matches the Rfam family "Bacterial large subunit ribosomal RNA", at positions 3 to 2007 of the family's 2925-position model. The record is from RNAcentral.